GUUUACUUAAGGUGCAAGAAAUCAGUAGAUGAUUUGGACAUGGCAACAAUGGAAUCUCCCUCAUAGAUACGCCCAUAUAGAACUCCCCUUGAUAAAGGAUGAUCGGUUGCUCGGUACAUGCCAGUUGAAGGACUGAGGGUGAAAUUCUGAAUGUGCCUCCAUGCUCCAACAGGAAGAAGGCGGCCUUUACUCUCCAUAACACUCACAGCUUCAUCGGAUAGCACCAUCUCGAGGGUGUCCCCGUGCACUGGGUUGUACUGCUUCCAAGAGUGCAGAACCUUCACAUGUACUUUCCAGCCACUCUUGAAGGGUUUCACAUCUUUCAAAGGGGUCACUUUCAUUGCGGCAGACAUUUUUUUUUUUGAUUGCUAAUGUAGUUGUGAGUAAAUGUGAGAAAGCUUAGGCAUGUUGUAGGUGUUUAUAUCGCAGUAGGUUAAUCGAUGGUUCUAAAUGUCUGGUUAAAAAAUAUCUCUCGUAUAUUCUUAAUUCAAUAUAGGAAACCCUUAGAGUAUUGAUCAA
Brassica oleracea var. oleracea is the source of this 519-nucleotide long non-coding RNA. RefSeq lists it as uncharacterized. The record is from RefSeq and is a predicted model, not a curated record. NCBI's taxonomy places the organism in Eukaryota, Viridiplantae, Streptophyta, Magnoliopsida, Brassicales, Brassicaceae. The transcript has 3 exons.